AUUUUAUUAAAUAUGAAAAAGGCAGCCCGUGCUCAGAGGAAAGCGUAGGAUUCAUCCGUAUAGAUGCGUGUGCCUUUUGUGUGGCCUUGUCUUGGAACUGAAGAUACAACUCCAAGCUUCCAAUGAUUCUAGUGCAACUGGCAUUCGCUUUCUUCAUUACAUGCACGACUGCAAAAUCAGAUGGCUGCCAAUCAGGGGAUACGACCUCAGCCUUCGUCAAAAUUAUUCGUCUGGUUGUGGAAACACUGAAGCUGGACCCGCUGCAGUUGCCGGACGUGUGCCUUGAAGUUCCAAUGCUUGGCGGCAUCACAUUACACAACGGCAGCCUUACAGGACUGAGUACUGUUAGGAGAACGGGGACCAAUUCUAUCUCGGUUGAAGACAAAGGACUCGAAGUUCAAGUUGACAUGGGAACGGGGCAACUAGCCGUCAAUUUUACAACGACCAUUUCUAUGGGGCUCAUUUCAUCGGACGUAAAUAUUUUGGUGGAUGUCAACUGUACACGCAUUGUGGUGGACAU
This is a long non-coding RNA of Dermacentor albipictus, 520 nucleotides long. RefSeq lists it as uncharacterized. The record is from RefSeq and is a predicted model, not a curated record. NCBI's taxonomy places the organism in Eukaryota, Metazoa, Arthropoda, Arachnida, Ixodida, Ixodidae.